UACAGAGGGUGCGAGCGUUAAUCGGAAUUACUGGGCGUAAAGCGUGCGCAGACGGUUGCGUAAGUCAGAUGUGAAAGCCCCGGGCUCAACCUGGGAAUUGCAUUUGAGACUGCGUAGCUAGGGUGCGGAAGAGGGAAGCGGAAUUUCCGGUGUAGCGGUGAAAUGCGUAGAUAUCGGAAGGAACACCAGUGGCGAAAGCGGCUUCCUGGUCCAGCACCGACGUUCAGGCACGAAAGCGUGGGGAGCAAACGGG
Molecule: ribosomal RNA, 253 nt
Filed under: uncultured bacterium
Lineage: Bacteria
Description: partial 16S ribosomal RNA
Rfam family: Bacterial small subunit ribosomal RNA
Source: RNAcentral